This 279-nucleotide ribosomal RNA is filed under the name uncultured bacterium. Its description in RNAcentral is "partial 16S ribosomal RNA". It matches the Rfam family "Bacterial small subunit ribosomal RNA", at positions 506 to 784 of the family's 1533-position model. The record is from RNAcentral.
UGCCAGCAGCCGCGGUAAUACGGAGGGGGUUAGCGUUGUUCGGAAUUACUGGGCGUAAAGCGCGCGUAGGCGGCCGACUAAGUCUGAUGUGAAAGCCCGGGGCUUACCCCCGGAAGUGCAUUGGAUACUGGCAGUCUUGAGUAUGGGAGAGGAAAGUGGAAUUCCGAGUGUAGGAGUGAAAUCCGUAGAUAUUCGGAGGAACACCGGUGGCGAAGGCGGCUUUCUGGACCAAUACUGACGCUGAGAUGCGAAAGCGUGGGGAGCGAACAGGAUUAGAUA